UGGAGGGGAUAUGAAAGAUGGCCUCUACUUGUAAGCUAUCACCCAGGGAUGGGCCUGCGUCUGAUUAGACAGUUGGCGGGGUAACGGCCCACCAAAGCGACGAUCAGUAGCCGGUCUGAGAGGAUGAACGGCCACAUUGGGACUGAGACACGGCCCAGACUCCUACGGGAGGCAGCAGUGGGGAAUCUUCCGCAAUGGGCGCAAGCCUGACGGAGCAACGCCGCGUGAGUGAAGAAGGUCUUCGGAUCGUAAAGCUCUGUUGUUGGGGACGAACGUGCUCCUUGCGAAUAGUGAGGAGUAAUGACGGUACCCGACGAGGAAGCCACGGCUAACUACGUGCCAGCAGCCGCGGUAAUACGUAGGUGGCGAGCGUUGUCCGGAAUCAUUGGGCGUAAAGGGAGCGCAGGCGGGGAGGCAAGUCGGUCUUAAAAGUGCGGGGCUCAACCCCGUGAGGGGAUCGAAACUGCUUCUCUUGAGUACCGGAGAGGAAAGCGGAAUUCCCAGUGUAGCGGUGAAAUGCGUAGAUAUUGGGAGGAACACCAGUGGCGAAGGCGGCUUUCUGGACGGCAACUGACGCUGA
RNAcentral lists this ribosomal RNA (580 nucleotides) under uncultured rumen bacterium. RNAcentral's name for it is "bacterial SSU rRNA". It matches the Rfam family "Bacterial small subunit ribosomal RNA", at positions 190 to 749 of the family's 1533-position model. The record is from RNAcentral.